Molecule: long non-coding RNA, 1840 nt
Filed under: Linum usitatissimum (flax)
Lineage: Eukaryota; Viridiplantae; Streptophyta; Magnoliopsida; Malpighiales; Linaceae
Description: long non-coding RNA (LUSI_LNC005145)
Source: RNAcentral
GAAAGAGGAGCCUCAAUCAUGGAGCUGCUCCUAAAAACCUAAAUCGUGAAAGCUGCUGACGCCGUUCUGCACCACUAAUGGAGAAUCGAUCAAAGGCAGAGAGGCCCGUGUUUUGAUUUCGAGGAGAAAGCUCGAGGAUUGAACGAGGAUAUGGCAAAGACGAUCCUCGGAGGAGGAUUGAAGGAGAAUCCGCGGGAGCUUGCGAUCAUGGAGUUGGAUUAGAGGGAGGUUCCGCGGGCGUGCAAUCGACAGCCAGGGCUCGUGUGGAGCGAUCCCGCAAGGGGGAUAUGGAGUCGUCGGGACAUUUAUGGGAAGAGUUAGGGUGAACGGAGGCUAGAAAUCGGAGCUCCAAGGAGGCGUCCCCAGGAUCUGAGCACGGCUCGUCGGCGGCGGGAUAUCGCCGGAGAAGAAGACCACCCAGCAGUUAGAGAGAGUUCGGUGAUAGUUCUGCAAACUUUUGAAAGUUAAGUGAUCUAUGGUGAAAUUUUUAUAAGUUUGUUAACGAUUCUAUACUUUCUGGAAGUUAGGUGAGUGAGCUGUAAUUAGUUGAUUAAUUAGGGUCUGUUCUGCAAUUUGAUUCUGAGAUUUGUCCAGCUGGGCAAUAAAAUGUUGAUUCUGCCCUGCAAGUUUCAGCAUUUACCAAAUAAUUACAGCAUAACUCGGCUGUUUGAGUUUCAAACGAUGUGCCGUCAAAAGAUCCAUUCGUAGCAACAAGGAGAAUCAUCUCGGAUAUAAUUCUGACAUGUCAGCUUGUUAAUUAGGCGGGUAGUUUAAAAAGGUAAAUUCUUUUCGUUGUAGUAGGUUAGGUUUUAAUUAAUUUGAUGUAUAUAAUUUAUGCCAUGAUUCCAUGAUUGAGUGUUUUAUUAAUGUCAUGUUACUACUUUGAUGUUGUGCAAGUUGUGCCUCCUAUAUAUUGAUAAGGUUAGACUAGCUAUAAUAUUAACAAUAAGAUAAGGUUAGACUAACGAUAACAUUGAAACGAUUAUGUUAGAAUUAGGACAAGUUACAAGAACCAUGAUACUAUGAUUCAUAAUUCACCUAACUUGAUUGACUUUAGCUUCAAUUUUUCAUGAUGAUUUAUUGAUGAUGAUUUGUUAUUGAUGAUUCCUUGAUGAUGAUUCUUUGUUGAUGAUUAAUUACUUGUUAUGUUAAGUUCUUGCUUACGAUAGGAUUAAAUAAAGAGGACUGACUUUAUGUAAUACGAUUACUAGUUAGUACUUAUGAUUCUAUAUAUGUCUUACUUUCCUAUGUUCAGUUAUAUAUGAUGCUCCUAUGUGCCUAUAUGAUUAAGUUAGCUAGAUAAUAAUAUGAUAGUAGAAGUUAGACAACCUUAUUAGUGGUUGCAUAAUAGAAGAAAUGAAUGUUAGCUCUUUAUGAUAAGAUGAAGUGUAAUGUGAAUAAUGUGUUAGUAGUGCCUUCAUAUUAAUUGUUAUGAUUGGAUCAUGAAAGACUGACCCUAGAACCACCCACUAGGGUGUGUUGAUAGUUGAUGCAGGAGCAGAGUGCUUUGAUUCGGAAAAUGGCGAUGUGGACUUGGUUUUAAGACAGUUUUUUUUUCAAGAGUUCAUAACGAGACUUGAUUUCAUUUUCAUGUCGGACUUAUGCUAUAGUAUUUUCGCGGUUGUUAAAGUAUUUAGGUUUGUUUUUUUACGUUAUUAUCUUUAUGUAUUCAAAUUCAGAUUUGAAUUCCUUUUCAAAGAAUCCCUACGGGGCAAUUUAGUCAUUUAAUAAAUGCAAGAAGUUUAAGGUGUUUCACUAUUCCUUUAUAACAGUUUGAACGAUGGUGAAAAGAUUUACGCGUUGACUGAUAAUUAUAUCAAUUGUUUCAAUUAUUACAUCC